UUAAGUUCAGCGGGUAUUCCUACCUGAUCCGAGGUCAACCUUGAGAAGUGGGGUGUUUAACGGCGUGGCCGCGCCGCGUCCCAGAGCGAGGUGUGCUACUACGCAGAGGGGGCUGCAGCGAGACCGCCACUAGAUUUCGGGGGCGCCGGGGGGUUCCCGGCCGAUCCCCAACGCCGAGCCACGGGGGGCUCGAGGGUUGA
Molecule: unclassified non-coding RNA, 200 nt
Filed under: Hypocreales sp.
Lineage: Eukaryota; Fungi; Ascomycota; Sordariomycetes; Hypocreales
Description: partial internal transcribed spacer 2
Source: RNAcentral